GUGUGCGGCUUGUGGAAGCUGUGAGCAGAACCACAUAUAUGUGGCGCUUUGGAGUGGAGCGUUGCUGUGUGGGUGCGGGAGAGUGAGGAUCCCCCCUUCUGACCACCAAGUUUGGCCACCCUUUGCAAGCGUAGCAGUGUGGUUUGUUGGCUGGGUAGAACCUUCCUGUCGCGUCUGUGGUAUUAAACACGAUUUACAACGACCAAAAAAUUAAUAUAUUGGCGAUCGAUGUUCAGGUCCACUUAACUGGCCAGUGAGGAGUCGUUUGACCCCUCACAAAUAGCGCCCACAACAUCGGCAGCCAGCGACAACAACAUCGGCCGCCAGCGCCAACAACAACAGCAGCUAGCAGCUACAACAUCGCCAGCGCCAACAGCAUCGGUCACCAGCGCCAACAACAACGCCAGUUAGCGCCAACAACAUCGCCAGCCAGCAGUUACAACAUCGCCAGCGCCAGCAACCUCAGCAGCCAGCGACAACAACAACAGCAGCUAACAACAAAACAAAACCCUCGCGCAUAACUUUGUAAAAACUUUUUACAGUUCACUUAAUAUGUAAGCUUAACCAAUAAUUGUAAGAUUUGUUAAGAUGUUAAGAUUUUAUAUUAGUACCCAAGAAUUAUCUUAAGCUAAGCUUUCCCCCUCCGCUCUCGCAUCAGCAGUAGCCACACACACACACACCAGGAGAGCAACGAAAUAUUCACCACGAUAGGUGCAGCGCCGCACAGGAGCAAGCGAGAGAGGACAUGCGAUCGAGGAGAAAAACAACCCCCGAAAAUUGGCACGCGCCAAGGGAAGAGCGAGAGAAAAGGAGUACCGAAACUUCGACAAGUGGAAAAAACCCAGAGCAGCCGAAAACUUGAACAAAACGCGGCGGCAAAGCUUGACGAGGUGACUUUUGGAAAACGCGGCGCACGGGAUCAGAAGUGUUAGCAGAGCAAAUUUGUGUGGACAACAGGAGUCUUUUGCCUUCGGGCUGAUGCCAAGUGACCCAGGAAGGAGUUUACCUAGACGACCUCGAGGAGAGUGUGCCGGCCCAGGACCAGCGGCGGAGCACCCGGAGUCACGCGUGUGUGUGUGCGUGAGAGCGAGACGGGUGAGUGAGUGGAGUGAACCGCAUUUUGGCCAGCGAGAGUCCCGUGCAAUGAGAAAUUUCUCGAAGGCCUCGAUGCGGCUUCGCCCAGAGUAGGCUAGAAUUUAUAAACCAUGACCUAACCUAACCCGUUAAUUGCGAGCACUGAGGAAAAAAACAUGAACCAAGAAUUUAAAUUAAGAAUAUUUUCUUACAUAUCUGAACACAAAAUUGCCGCUGCCAUGUUGUUCUUUUUCCCUUUGAAUACUUUGAUUUCCGAGCUGACUACACCGAGAGAAAGGGGUGGACCCAACUUUUGGAAACCUGUUGCUCAUUAAUUAAAUAAAAAUAUUUCUCAGAUAUUAAAAAAUCCAA
This is a long non-coding RNA of Drosophila subpulchrella, 1446 nucleotides long. RefSeq lists it as uncharacterized. The transcript is spliced from 3 exons. The record is from RefSeq and is a predicted model, not a curated record. Lineage: Eukaryota; Metazoa; Arthropoda; Insecta; Diptera; Drosophilidae.